This 802-nucleotide long non-coding RNA is filed under the name Cricetulus griseus (Chinese hamster). RNAcentral's name for it is "lncRNA (ENSCGRG00000026619.1)". The record is from RNAcentral. Lineage: Eukaryota; Metazoa; Chordata; Mammalia; Rodentia; Cricetidae.
CUCUGCCUAAAGCCAAGAACAAAGAAAUCAACAGAAACAUUGGCUUUAUGUAGUCAAAGUCUUACCCUUGAAACAUCUGCAGGAUGAAGAGGUUUAAAAAACAGUGUUCUCUACAGUCAAGUGUAUCUGAAGGACAAAAUAAGAACAGGACAUUGACAAGGUUGGGAAGAACCGAAGUCAUCCUUUUGUCCCUCUUGAAAGGUGAAGGUCCUGAGGUCAGAGAGGUGGCUGGAUUUGUUGAAAUCUCAGAGCAGUUUAGAAGACUAUUUUCAAGAACUGUGUUGGGAGGCUGCCACGUGUCUGACUUAGAGCCAAGAUGGGCACAAGAAUGGAGAAUAAGACCCAGUUUGUGCCAGGAGAAUUUUAUUGAAUUCUUUCUGGAAAAAAUAAACAUGAGACAACCAGCCAUUUGGAAACAAGAAACUAAGGAACUGUUGAACAAGAUGAAGACAAGAGUUUUACCUAAGAGUAAGAAGCCUUAGAACCCCUCCUGAAACCAGAGAAAGGAUAGAAGUGCUUGUGCCUGGAGACCUGAGUGACCUUCUCCAGCCUGAGCAGGGAGUGGAUAUGAGGCUGGCUGACACACCCGUUUGACAUUACACAUCCUCUGCUUGUGAAGAUGACUCACUUCAAAUCAUCGCAGGACUCCUUGUUCACAUAUGCUUAACAUAGCCGAAUUCAUCUUCAGUUUGCCAACUGUUCUAUAGAAUUAUUUUGCACCCUGGAGAAUUGAUCUGUUUACCUCAAGGCAAGUCAAUGUGAUAUAUAUUUUCUUAUAUGAAAAAUACAAGGAAAGUUUCUG